UACGGGGGGGGCAAGCGUUGUUCGGAAUUACUGGGCGUAAAGGGCUCGUAGGCGGCCAACUAAGUCAGACGUGAAAUCCCUCGGCUUAACCGGGGAACUGCGUCUGAUACUGGAUGGCUUGAGGUUGGGAGAGGGAUGCGGAAUUCCAGGUGUAGCGGUGAAAUGCGUAGAUAUCUGGAGGAACACCGGUGGCGAAGGCGGCGAUCCUGGACCAAUACUGACGCUGAGUGAGCGAAAGCCAGGGGAGCAAAACGGGG
Molecule: ribosomal RNA, 257 nt
Filed under: uncultured bacterium
Lineage: Bacteria
Description: partial 16S ribosomal RNA
Rfam family: Bacterial small subunit ribosomal RNA
Source: RNAcentral